This is a long non-coding RNA of Lagopus muta (rock ptarmigan), 867 nucleotides long. RefSeq lists it as uncharacterized. The record is from RefSeq and is a predicted model, not a curated record. NCBI's taxonomy places the organism in Eukaryota, Metazoa, Chordata, Aves, Galliformes, Phasianidae. The transcript has 3 exons.
CGCGAGGCCGAGCCGGCCGUGAGGAGGUAGUGCGGGGCCGCGCGAUGCUCCAACGCCGCAGGGCAGCUCCGGGCUCCGAGCGCCGCUUCAGCUUCUACAAGUCAGCUCGUGUUGGAAGUUGGUGGUGUCACUGUAUGAAUGAAGGUCAGUUCAGGAGCAGCUGCUGAUGGAAGGAAUGAAGUCCACGGUAAUGAGCUGAAUCAUCUCCUGGUCAUCUGGUCCAACCUCCCUGCAGUGAACUGGGACCCUACGCUGGGUCAGGCGCUCAGAGCCUGCUCCAGCCUCUCCCUGAAUGCCUCCAAGGAUUGAGCUUCCACCACCUCCCUGGGCAACAUGUGCCAAUGCCUCACCGCUCUUGUCAUGAAAGACUUUUUCCUUUAAUGCAAUCUAAAUCUCCCCUCUCUUACUCGGACACUAUUUCCCCUUUCGUUACAACAGUUCCACCAGGGAGGCCAGCUCUGGCACAGCGGGGCACCCUGCCACGGCUUUGGGCAGAGUGGUGGAGAUGCAGCCCAGGGCGAGGAGGGCGAGGCUGAGGAGGAAGAAGCGCAUGGGGUGUGCAGGCGGUGGUCGAGGGCUGCGGCUGUGCUGAUGAGGCCAUUGCCCAGGCCAUUUUGUCCAGAUCUCAAGGCAAGGCCUCUUUAUCCUCAAGGAGGUCUAAACUCCUCCCAGCUUAGCAUCAUCCACAAACUGAUUGAUACAACCAACAGAUCUUUAGUGGAACCAACAGUAAAAACAAGAUAGAGAAAUGGCCUUAAAAUGGAGCCCAGCAGAAUUCAACAGGUUCAUCAGACACACAGGGCAACUGUCAGGACAAAGUCACCGAAUCCUCCAGUGCAGCCAUGUUUUAGUUGUCAAGAGACAUUC